AACUAUAGCCAUGCCAUCCUGAACAUGCCUGAUCUUGUCUGAUGUCAGAAACUAAACAGAGUCAGGCCUGGUUAGUACUUGGAUUGGAGUACUAACCAGGAGUACCAGAUGCUGUGGGCU
Molecule: ribosomal RNA, 120 nt
Organism: Pteropus vampyrus (large flying fox)
Lineage: Eukaryota; Metazoa; Chordata; Mammalia; Chiroptera; Pteropodidae
Source: Ensembl